RNAcentral lists this ribosomal RNA (384 nucleotides) under Dirofilaria immitis (dog heartworm nematode). Its description in RNAcentral is "SSU rRNA". It matches the Rfam family "Eukaryotic small subunit ribosomal RNA", at positions 678 to 1063 of the family's 1831-position model. The record is from RNAcentral. Lineage: Eukaryota; Metazoa; Nematoda; Chromadorea; Rhabditida; Onchocercidae.
ACUAGGAUUCUAGACUAAAUAUUACAAGUUUUCUAUAUGUUACCUUAAUUGGUUGCAUAUAGUAGCUAGUAAGUUUACCUUGAAAAAAUUAGAGUGCUCAAUGCGGGCUUAAUGCCUGAAUACUCGUGCAUGGAAUAAUAAAAUAGGAUCUUGGUUCUAUUUUGUUGGUUUUCUGAUCUAAGAUAAUGGUUAAGAGGGACGGACGGGGGCAUUCGUAUCGCUACGUGAGAGGUGAAAUUCUUGGACCGUAGCGAGACGUACAACUGCGAAAGCAUUUGCCAAGAAUGUCUUCAUUAAUCAAGAACGAAAGUCAGAGGUUCGAAGGCGAUCAGAUACCGCCCUAGUUCUGACCGUAAACGAUACCAACUAGCGUUCCGUUGGCGG